GACGAACGCUGGCGGCAUGCCUAACACAUGCAAGUCGAGGGAGCAGAUCCCUUCGGGGUGAAGCUAGCGGCGGACGGGUGAGUAACACGUGGGCAACCUGCCUCAUAGAGGGGAAUAGCCUUCCGAAAGGAAGAUUAAUACCGCAUAAGAUUGUGGCUUCGCAUGAAGCAGCAAUUAAAGGAGCAAUCCGCUAUGAGAUGGGCCCGCGGCGCAUUAGCUAGUUGGUUAGGUAACGGCUCACCAAGGCGACGAUGCGUAGCCGACCUGAGAGGGUGAUCGGCCACAUUGGGACUGAGACACGGCCCAGACUCCUACGGGAGGCAGCAGUGGGGAAUAUUGCACAAUGGGGGAAACCCUGAUGCAGCAAUGCCGCGUGAGUGAUGACGGCCUUCGGGUUGUAAAGCUCUGUCUUCGGGGACGAUAAUGACGGUACCCGAGGAGGAAGCCACGGCUAACUACGUGCCAGCAGCCGCCGUAA
Molecule: ribosomal RNA, 478 nt
Filed under: uncultured bacterium
Lineage: Bacteria
Description: partial 16S ribosomal RNA
Rfam family: Bacterial small subunit ribosomal RNA
Source: RNAcentral